Molecule: ribosomal RNA, 113 nt
Filed under: Loa loa (African eye worm)
Lineage: Eukaryota; Metazoa; Nematoda; Chromadorea; Rhabditida; Onchocercidae
Source: RNAcentral
AUGUUUAGAAGAAAUGUUUAGAAGAAUCUCGUCCGAUCUGUCAAGUUAAGCAACGUUGGGCCUGGUUAGUACUUGGAUCGGAGACGGCCUGGGAAUCCCAGGUGUUGUAGACA